GAUGAACGCUGGCGGCGUGCUUAACACAUGCAAGUCGAACGAUGAAGCCCAGCUUGCUGGGUGGAUUAGUAGCGAACGGGUGAGUAACACGUGAGUAACCUGCCCUUGACUCUGGGAUAAGCGCUGGAAACGGCGUCUAAUACCGGAUACGAGCUUCCACCGCAUGGUGAGUUGCUGGAAAGAAUUUCGGUCAAGGAUGGACUCGCGGCCUAUCAGGUAGUUGGUGAGGUAACGGCUCACCAAGCCGACGACGGGUAGCCGGCCUGAGAGGGUGACCGGCCACACUGGGACUGAGACACGGCCCAGACUCCUACGGGAGGCAGCAGUGGGGAAUAUUGCACAAUGGGCGCAAGCCUGAUGCAGCAACGCCGCGUGAGGGACGAAGGCCUUCGGGUCGUAAACCUCUUUUAGCAGGGAAGAAGCGAAAGUGACGGUACCUGCAGAAAAAGCACCGGCUAACUACGUG
This 466-nucleotide ribosomal RNA is filed under the name uncultured bacterium. RNAcentral's name for it is "partial 16S ribosomal RNA". It matches the Rfam family "Bacterial small subunit ribosomal RNA", at positions 28 to 507 of the family's 1533-position model. The record is from RNAcentral.